GACGAACGCUGGCGGCGUGCUUAACACAUGCAAGUCGAACGGAAAGGCCCUGCUUUUGUGGGGUGCUCGAGUGGCGAACGGGUGAGUAACACGUGAGUAACCUGCCCUUGACUUUGGGAUAACUUCAGGAAACUGGGGCUAAUACCGGAUAGGAGCUCCUGCUGCAUGGUGGGGGUUGGAAAGUUUCGGCGGUUGGGGAUGGACUCGCGGCUUAGCAGCUUGUUGGUGGGGUAGUGGCUUACCAAGGCUUUGACGGGUAGCCGGCCUGAGAGGGUGACCGGCAACAUUGGGACUGGGAUACGGCCCAGACUCCUACGGGAGGCAGCAGUGGGAAAUAUGGCACAAUGGGCGGAGGCCGGAUGCAGCAACGCGGCGUGCGGGAUGACGGCCUUCGGGUUGUAAACCGCUUUCGCCUGUGACGAAGCGUGAGUGACGGUAAUGGGUAAAGAAGCACCGGCUAACUACGUG
Molecule: ribosomal RNA, 468 nt
Filed under: uncultured bacterium
Lineage: Bacteria
Description: partial 16S ribosomal RNA
Rfam family: Bacterial small subunit ribosomal RNA
Source: RNAcentral